UACGGGGGGGGCAAGCGUUGUUCGGAAUUACUGGGCGUAAAGGGCUCGUAGGCGGCCAACUAAGUCGGACGUGAAAUCCCUCGGCUUAACCGGGGAACUGCGUCCGAUACUGGAUGGCUUGAGUGUGGGAGAGGGAUGCGGAAUUCCUGGUGUAGCGGUGAAAUGCGCAGAUAUCAGGAGGAACACCGGUGGCGAAGGCGGGUCUCUGGGCCGUAACUGACGCUGAGGAGCGAAAGCGUGGGGAGCGAACAGG
RNAcentral lists this ribosomal RNA (253 nucleotides) under uncultured bacterium. RNAcentral's name for it is "partial 16S ribosomal RNA". It matches the Rfam family "Bacterial small subunit ribosomal RNA", at positions 524 to 776 of the family's 1533-position model. The record is from RNAcentral.